CCUACGGGUGGCAGCAGUGAGGAAUAUUGGUCAAUGGACGAGAGUCUGAACCAGCCAAGUAGCGUGAAGGAUGACUGCCCUAUGGGUUGUAAACUUCUUUUAUAUGGGAAUAAAAUGUUCCACGUGUGGGAUUUUGUAUGUACCAUAUGAAUAAGGAUCGGCUAACUCCGUGCCAGCAGCCGCGGUACUACGGAGGAUCCGAGCGUUAUCCGGAUUUAUUGGGUUUAAAGGGAGCGUAGGUGGAUUGUUAAGUUAGUUGUGAAAGUUUGCGGCUCAACCGUAAAAUUGCAAUUGAAACUGGCAGUCUGGAGUACAGUCGAGGUGGGCGGAAUUCGUGGUGUAGCGGUGAUAUGCUUAGAUAUCACGAAGAACUCCGAUUGCGAAGGCAGUUCACUGGACUGCAACUGACACUGAGGCUCGAAAGUGUGGGUAUCAAACAGGAUUAGAUACCCGUGUAGUC
Molecule: ribosomal RNA, 460 nt
Filed under: uncultured bacterium
Lineage: Bacteria
Description: partial 16S ribosomal RNA
Rfam family: Bacterial small subunit ribosomal RNA
Source: RNAcentral